This 920-nucleotide ribosomal RNA is filed under the name uncultured bacterium. RNAcentral's name for it is "bacterial SSU rRNA". The stretch from base 25 to 661 matches the Rfam family "Bacterial small subunit ribosomal RNA". The record is from RNAcentral.
UGAUCAACCGUGACUCUNAAUGCAUCUGCUUAAACUUUGAUCAUGGCUCAUGCAUGAGCGNGUAACGUGCGUNACCUAAUAACAUGCAAGUCGAGCGAAUGGAUUAAGAGCUUGCUCUUAUGAAGUUAGCGGCGGACGUGGUGAGUAACACGUGGGUAACCUGCCCAUAAGACUGGGAUAACUCCGUGGAAACCUGGUGGCUAAUACCGGAUAACAUUUUGAACUGCAUGGUUCGAAAUUGAAAGGCGGCUUUGGCUGUCACUUAUGGAUGGACCCGCGUCGCAUUAGCUAGUUGGUGAGGUAACGGCUCACCAAGGCAACGAUGCGUAGCCGACCUGAGAGUGGUGAUCGUGCCACACUGGGACUGAGACACGGCCCAGACUCCUACGGGAGUGCAAGCAGUAGUGGAAUCUUCCGCAAUUGGACGAAAGUCUGACGGAGCAACGCCGCGUUGAGUGAUGAAGGCUUUUCGGGUCGUAAAAACUCUUGUAUGUNUAGGGACAGAACCANGUGCUAGUUGAAUAAGUUGGCACCUUGACGGUACCUAACCAGAAAGCCACGUGCUAACUACGUGCCAGCAGCCGCGGGUAAUACGUANGUGGCCAAGCGGUUAUCCCGGAAAUUAUUUGGGCGUAAAGACGCGCCCACGGUGGUUUCUUUAACGGUCUNGNUUUAAAGCCACNGGUUCCACCCGUGGAGGGUCACUUGGGAAACUUGGGGCANACCUUAUUNUCGCACCAAGNACAUUGGAUUCCAUUUUUACCGUUAAAAUUCUUACAACNUGGGAACCCCCUUGGCAAAAGACACUUAGCAAUUAAAUAACACAAUANGCACAUUUGGAUCAANUNUAUCANGUAUCCACCACAAUAUAAGUUACCUCUUAUAGUAAAAAUAUCCAUGAUAUCAANGAGUACAAAAAU